Molecule: non-coding RNA, 1766 nt
Organism: Delphinapterus leucas (beluga whale)
Lineage: Eukaryota; Metazoa; Chordata; Mammalia; Artiodactyla; Monodontidae
Source: RefSeq, a predicted model, not a curated record
CCGGGGCCCGCGCGGGCUUGCGGGUCCGGGGCGGGAUGCCAGGUACCCGGGCCCCUGGGCUUCCUGUUAAAGAUUUUUUUCUGAGAGAGAUGGGUUUCUGCGCCGCUUAAAGCGAGAGGAAAGAGGAAGUGGGAAGUGGGCUCGGGCGUCGGCAUCCUCUCUGAUGGAGAAAUACGGGAAGGGCAGCGGCGUCUAAGCCACAGCCGCUGCUUCGGGGACGGGGGACGCGAUGACUGUUGGGAGACCCGGUGACUGCUAGCAUAAUCUGUACUUUUGUACAAAUCAGUUAAAUGCGCUUUGUUACCUUCUAGACAUGUUUAUGGAAGGAGGGUUUAUUUGUCUAUCCAAUUUUGUAGUCUCUGUCUUUUAACAGAAAUAACCAGUUCUUCAAAUGCUCUUAGAACCAGCUUUACCAUCCUACUGCUUCCUUCAUCAAUUAAAAUAAAAUCAUUGACAUGGGUUCAUUCUGUAUAGAAGCAUACGAGAGAGAAAUCAGCAAUGAUUCCUAUGUUUCUGGCUUCAACAACUGGGAAAAUGGAGUAUGUUACAGCAACAUGCCUUAAUAAAGACAGCCAAAGUCCAAAUACCUCUGUCAACAUUAAGUUGAUAUAAACACAGCAAAUGUGAUGGGAGUGACCAGAUCACAAGGAAGCCAGAUUUUGAGGACAGAUGUCUGGGAGGAAGGAGCAAGAAGACAAAGGGAGGAAAAGCAAAACGAUAAUGGAAUUAGCGGUGAGAUGGACGUGUUUCCGUGUUCUGGCCCUCCAAACCAACAACUGUCAUUCAAAAACCAUCUCAUCCUGGUGACCAGCUUGCCUUUUCCUCAGCAUCUUCUUCCCAUGGUCAAGACAUGAGACAGGUCCAUUGAGGAUAAAAUGAAGAACUAAAAUGCUCUCUGAGCCCUUCAAAAAGAUCUCCUCCAAGUCCAUGGCUGGAAAGGCGCACAUGGGAAGAUGGUGAUGGAACCAUAUCACAGCUGCCCUAGCAAGGCCCACAUGCCUUCCAGGACAGAAAUAACACCUUCUCAACACAAGGUCAGGGACAGAUUUUGGAAUAAACUUGUUUUCUUAUAUCUGGGAUUCCUCAGUCUCUGCCUAAGGAGAGUCUUGAACUGAGAUCAGAACACCUGGCUUUCUUAGCUACUUGGGAGACCUUGGAUAACUUAUUUAAAUUCUCUGUGCCUCAGGGCACUCAUCAGUAAAAUGAUGAAGUCAGAAUAGAUCAGUGGUUUUCUAAUACUAAGCAGUGAACUCUUUUUCCAAACAAAACUUUACAAAUCCGGAUACAUUAAACAGAUCCAAGUGGAGCUGCUCUGAUUGCAGUCAGGGCAGGGAGUUGUAGGAGAUGGGGGAACAAACAGGAGCAGGGCAGACCAGGGCCCCAGUGCCUCAACCUUCCUUUUGUAUCUGAGGCACAGUUUGAAAACCUGAAUAGAUGGUCUCCACUGUAGCUUUCAGCAUUAAAUGUUCUAAUUCUCUGUUAUUCUCCAUUGUACUCUAUCAGCCACUGCUCUCAAUAAACAAGCUAUAGACCAAGAACAAAGUAGGUGGAAAAUCAUUCCCAGGAGGUUCAAGGCUGGCUUAGGGCUUGCAUAUGUUCUACAUACUUUUCCUUUGGAGCCCCACUACCCUCCCCCAUACCAUACCAAACAUGUAAUUUUCUUUUGGUAUUUGAGAGACAAUUUUUUUUCAGAUCUCAAACAUUUCUGAAAGUCCUUUAAAAACUCAGAGUCUCGGGGGCUUCCCUGGUGGCGCAGUGGUUGAGAG